This 77-nucleotide transfer RNA is filed under the name Mycobacteroides abscessus. RNAcentral's name for it is "tRNA-Leu(caa)". It matches the Rfam family "tRNA". From Rfam's summary of the family: Transfer RNA (tRNA) molecules are approximately 80 nucleotides in length. Their secondary structure includes four short double-helical elements and three loops (D, anti-codon, and T loops). The record is from RNAcentral. Lineage: Bacteria; Bacillati; Actinomycetota; Actinomycetes; Mycobacteriales; Mycobacteriaceae.
GCGUGACUCGCUCAAUCAGGAAGAAGCAGCAGGCUCAAACCCUGCAAAGUCUGGGUUCGACCCCCAGGUCACGUACC